This 505-nucleotide ribosomal RNA is filed under the name uncultured bacterium. Its description in RNAcentral is "partial 16S ribosomal RNA". It matches the Rfam family "Bacterial small subunit ribosomal RNA", at positions 28 to 507 of the family's 1533-position model. The record is from RNAcentral.
GACGAACGCUGGCGGCGUGCCUAAUACAUGCAAGUAGAACGCACAGUUUAUACCGUAGCUUGCUACACCAUAGACUGUGAGUUGCGAACGGGUGAGUAACGCGUAGGUAACCUGCCUGGUAGCUGGGGAUAACUAUUGGAAACGAUAGCUAAUACCGCAUAAUAUUGAUUAUUGCAUGAUAAUUAAUUGAAAGGUGCAAUUGCACCACUACCAGAUGGACCUGCGUUGUAUUAGCUAGUAGGUGAGGUAACGGCUCACCUAGGCGACGAUACAUAGCCGACCUGAGAGGGUGAUCGGCCACACUGGGACUGAGACACGGCCCAGACUCCUACGGGAGGCAGCAGUAGGGAAUCUUCGGCAAUGGACGAAAGUCUGACCGAGCAACGCCGCGUGAGUGAAGAAGGUUUUCGGAUCGUAAAGCUCUGUUGUAAGAGAAGAACGGGUGUGAGAGUGGAAAGUUCACACUGUGACGGUAUCUUACCAGAAAGGGACGGCUAACUACGUG